RNAcentral lists this unclassified non-coding RNA (444 nucleotides) under Hevea brasiliensis (rubber tree). The record is from RNAcentral. Lineage: Eukaryota; Viridiplantae; Streptophyta; Magnoliopsida; Malpighiales; Euphorbiaceae.
UGGCGCCUUAGUGCGCCUUGAGCUUUUAAUAACUAUGCUAGAUAACCUCUCAGAUACUUUCUAUUGUUGAUAAUAUAAACUGUUAUGAAAAGUUUCAGUCUCAUAGAUUUCUUUCCAACCCAAACAAACAUUUCUUUUCAACAAAACAAACAUUUCUUUUCAACAAAGCAUUAUCAUCAACAAGCAGAAUCUUCAAAGUCAAGUUCUUUGUAACCAAGGGAGAAUAAGCAAGGACUUCUAGCCAAGGAUCAUUACAAGAUGAUUUUUACUUUGUUUAAGACUUGUUCUUCAACUGUUAAUUUCUCAUCAAUAUUCAGAUUUCAAGAGGUUCUUUCCUAUAUAGAAACUAAUCUAGCCUCAAUAAAGCACCCUAGUUGAACUAUGGAAAUCAGCCUAUUGAUGAAUCAAGUCUGUUAUAUUCUGGCAAAGUUGGUCAGUUUUUUC